AGAGUGAGACUCCGUCUGAAGAGAAAAAAAAAUUAUUCUAUAAAGUUAUGUUAACUACUUAAGAUUUACUGUUCCCACGAGUGUUUUCAUUUUUACAUAGGCAAAUCUAAAAGUAUAAAUAUUGUACAAAACACAUACACAUACAUUUCCUCAACAGAUGUUUAAUAGAACUAUUGGGUACCAUUAUUCCAUUUUACAGGUGCAGAGGUAACUUGCCGAAAGUCAUUUAUGUAGUAAAUGGCCGAGAUGACCAAUCCUCUUUCCACUCUUCCCCAG
RNAcentral lists this long non-coding RNA (276 nucleotides) under Homo sapiens (human). RNAcentral's name for it is "HSALNT0219538". The record is from RNAcentral. Lineage: Eukaryota; Metazoa; Chordata; Mammalia; Primates; Hominidae.